GUUCCCUGGAAAGGGGCGC
This 19-nucleotide small nuclear RNA is filed under the name Arabidopsis thaliana (thale cress). Its description in RNAcentral is "snRNA_05636". Lineage: Eukaryota; Viridiplantae; Streptophyta; Magnoliopsida; Brassicales; Brassicaceae. The record is from RNAcentral.